This is a long non-coding RNA of Brachypodium distachyon (stiff brome), 771 nucleotides long. RefSeq lists it as uncharacterized. The transcript has 2 exons. Lineage: Eukaryota; Viridiplantae; Streptophyta; Magnoliopsida; Poales; Poaceae. The record is from RefSeq and is a predicted model, not a curated record.
UCUUCUCCUCGUCUACUGCUGAGCAGCACUCGAUCGAUCCCCGAAAUCCCGAUUCCCUCGCCGGAGCCACCGCUCCUCGGCUCCUCCUGCAUACCGCCUUCCACCUGCGAGCCUAUUCUUCUCCGUCCAAAUCCGACGCCGGACAAAGCCAUCUUUCAGCCGCGAAGGAAGUGCAGAUCUCGACAAUGGCGGCGGUGGGGCGAGGGGAGAUCGAGGUCUUGCCCACCUGAGCGUCGGCGGCGACGUGGGGUAGCAGCCUAGCAGGGAAGAGCGGCGAGAGGGAGGACGCGCGGCGGAGCGGGACGGGGUGCCGGCGGGGCUCGGGUGGUAUGUAAUCCAGACAGGCAGAGGACUUGGCUGCAGCUUGUGCUUGUCCAUGUCCUUUUAAGAUGCCAGAGCUGUACAUCUCUUCUAGAAGCUGACCCCUGCUGUGGUCACCGUCUCUAAUUAUAAAUCAAGGGAAUGGCGUCGCCAAUCGCGCGCCAUGUUAAUUGUGUAAGUGCUAGUGGCACUAUAAUAACAAUUUUCCGUUUUUUGAAACUAAAUAGUGUAGCGUUUGAUUGCUGAGGUGGUUCGCUUCUGAUUGCUAGUUAUACAUUCAGUGGCAAAUUUGUAUCAAAAUAACAACAACGACGAGAUGUUGGCGCUUGGAUGACACACCUCUAAAUCGCCCUACUUUAGCUAGUUUUAAGAUACAAGUAUAUGCAUGACUGGUGAAUUUAUUUUUCAUGUCCUCUUUAUGAAGAAAAAAAUGUGACCGGUGAUUUUGGA